Molecule: long non-coding RNA, 230 nt
Filed under: Mytilus galloprovincialis (Mediterranean mussel)
Lineage: Eukaryota; Metazoa; Mollusca; Bivalvia; Mytilida; Mytilidae
Source: RNAcentral
UCGGGGUAACAAACUAAAACUGAGGGAAACGCAUUAAAUAUAAGAGGAGAACAACGACACAACACUACAAUGUAACACACACAGAAACGGACCAAGCAUCAGAAAAAAUCCCACGAGAAUAACAAAUAUAUCAUCAAAACCAAAUACAUGAAUUAGGGAUAGACAAGUACCAUGACACGUCUUUUCGCAAUGUGAAUUUACACUCAAAAAUAAAAGAAAACAAACAACGC